CCUACGGGGGCUGCAGUGGGGAAUAUUGGACAAUGGGCGAAAGCCUGAUCCAGCCAUGCCGCGUGUGUGAAGAAGGCCUUCGGGUUGUAAAGCACUUUCAGUGGGGAAGAAAGCCUUGGGGCUAAUACCCUCGAGGAAGGACAUCACCCACAGAAGAAGCACCGGCUAACUCCGUGCCAGCAGCCGCGGUAAUACGGAGGGUGCGAGCGUUAAUCGGAAUUACUGGGCGUAAAGCGCGCGUAGGCGGUCUGAUAAGCCGGUUGUGAAAGCCCCGGGCUCAACCUGGGAACGGCACCCGGAACUGUCAGGCUAGAGUGCAGGAGAGGAAGGUAGAAUUCCCGGUGUAGCGGUGAAAUGCGUAGAGAUCGGGAGGAAUACCAGUGGCGAAGGCGGCCUUCUGGACUGACACUGACGCUGAGGUGCGAAAGCGUGGGUAGCAAACAGGAUUAGAUACCCCAGUAGUC
RNAcentral lists this ribosomal RNA (464 nucleotides) under Vreelandella stevensii. RNAcentral's name for it is "partial 16S ribosomal RNA". It matches the Rfam family "Bacterial small subunit ribosomal RNA", at positions 338 to 795 of the family's 1533-position model. Lineage: Bacteria; Pseudomonadati; Pseudomonadota; Gammaproteobacteria; Oceanospirillales; Halomonadaceae. The record is from RNAcentral.